This 479-nucleotide ribosomal RNA is filed under the name Actenicerus aerosus. RNAcentral's name for it is "partial large subunit ribosomal RNA". It matches the Rfam family "Archaeal large subunit ribosomal RNA", at positions 1944 to 2658 of the family's 2987-position model. Lineage: Eukaryota; Metazoa; Arthropoda; Insecta; Coleoptera; Elateridae. The record is from RNAcentral.
GUUUGAUCUGCUCAAUGAGGAAUUAAAUUGCCGCGGUAUUUUGACCGUGCAAAGGUAGCAUAAUAAUUAGUUUUUUUAUUGAAAGCUGGAAUGAAUGAUUGGACGAGAAAUUUUCUGUCUCAUUAGGAUUUAUUUUUUAAUUUAACUUCUGAGUUAAAAGGCUUAGAUUUCGCUUAAAGACGAGAAGACCCUAUAGAGUUUAAUAGUCUUUUUUACUAGGAAGUUUUUGGUUAUUGAUUUUUUCUAUUUUCAGGAUUAUUUGGUUGGGGUGACUUGAAGAUUAAUGAAACUCUUCUAUUAUUUUAUCAUUGAUUUAUGAUUGUUUAAUCUAGUUUUUUUAAAUUUAAAAUUAAUUACCUUAGGGAUAACAGCGUAAUUUCUUUUUAGAGUUCUUAUUGAAAAAGAAGUUUGCGACCUCGAUGUUGGAUUAAAAUUUAUUUUUGGUGUAGCAGCUGGAAUAGUGCGUCUGUUCGACCUUU